Molecule: ribosomal RNA, 456 nt
Filed under: Forficula auricularia complex sp. A sensu Guillet et al. (2000) (European earwig)
Lineage: Eukaryota; Metazoa; Arthropoda; Insecta; Dermaptera; Forficulidae
Description: Forficula auricularia A (European earwig) partial 16S ribosomal RNA
Source: RNAcentral
AAAGUUUCCAGCUUGUCUGGGUUAGGACUUUGAAGACGUGGAGUCCAAUGAGAAUUAGGUUGUAGCUCCAGCGUUGGAAAGAACAGCUAUGCUUGAGAGUUUCUUUUUAAUGCGACAAUAGGGAUUCCAUAAAAGAAGAAGAACGGUUAGUUAAACCUAGGAAGCAAAUGUAUAAACAUAAUGGAAUUUUCUUUUCGAAUUAGAGAAAAGGACAGCGGGGUUGGUUUUAUGGAAAGUUAGAGAAUUUCUAAUUGGAAGGGAGGGAUCUUUAACCCAAACAUCACUUUUAGAUAUCCCAGAAGAGCAGAAAAUUUGGAUAAAAACGAAAAAAUGUUUUUUUAUUUUAAGUUGAAAAAAAGGCCUCUGUCGAAUUUGGAGUAACUUAGCAAGUAAGGUCGUAGUUAAUUUUCUGAUAACUAAUACGAUGGAAGCGUGCCAGUCUUAUGGCGCCGAGAA